AUGGAGUACAACCAAAGAGUUUUAUUUUGGAAUGUGCGGGGCCUCAACUGCCCAGCUAAGCGUAGCGCUGUACGCUCCGUCAUCCGGCCAGCCAACCCGUGUAUCGUGUGCCUUCAGGAAACAAAGAUCGCUGUCGUCUCGUCGUCCCUUGUGCGCGAUACGCUGGGCGCCUCGUUUGCCCACUAUUUCUUCCUCCCGGCCACGGAGACACGCGGUGGCAUCCUCCUCGCAUGGCAGAGCGACAUCGUCUCCCUCUCCCACCCUACCAUUGCCGACCACUUCAUUAACGCGUUGGUGACACCACGCGAUGGCAGCCCACAUUGGUGGGUGACAGGGGUUUACGGGCCACAAGAGGAACCGGACAAGAUUUCCUUCCUCGCCGACCUUCAUGACACGAGAUCUUGCUGCGUCAGGCCUUGGCUAGUCGGGGGCGACUUCAACAUGAUUGCGAGCGCCGAGGACAAGAACAACGGGAACCUGCACCGGGCUGCCAUGCGCCGCUUUAGAAACUUCAUCGCCGACGAGGAGCUCUAG
This 534-nucleotide ribosomal RNA is filed under the name Triticum aestivum (bread wheat). RNAcentral's name for it is "partial small subunit ribosomal RNA". The record is from RNAcentral. Lineage: Eukaryota; Viridiplantae; Streptophyta; Magnoliopsida; Poales; Poaceae.